Molecule: ribosomal RNA, 501 nt
Filed under: uncultured bacterium
Lineage: Bacteria
Description: bacterial SSU rRNA
Rfam family: Bacterial small subunit ribosomal RNA
Source: RNAcentral
CGUGAGACAGGUGCUGCAUGGCUGUCGUCAGCUCGUGUUGUGAAAUGUUGGGUUAAGUCCCGCAACGAGCGCAACCCUUAUCCUUUGUUGCCAGCGGUCCGGCCGGGAACUCAAAGGAGACUGCCAGUGAUAAACUGGAGGAAGGCGGGGAUGACGUCAAGUCAUCAUGGCCCUUACGACCAGGGCUACACACGUGCUACAAUGGCGCAUACAAAGAGAAGCGACCUCGCGAGAGUAAGCGGACCUCAUAAAGUGCGUCGUAGUCCGGAUUGGAGUCUGCAACUCGACUCCAUGAAGUCGGAAUCGCUAGUAAUCGUGGAUCAGAAUGCCACGGUGAAUACGUUCCCGGGCCUUGUACACACCGCCCGUCACACCAUGGGAGUGGGUUGCAAAAGAAGUAGGUAGCUUAACCUUCGGGAGGGCGCUUACCACUUUGUGAUUCAUGACUGGGGUGAAGUCGUAACAAGGUAACCGUAGGGGAACCUGCGGCUGGAUCACCUC